Molecule: unclassified non-coding RNA, 2887 nt
Filed under: Homo sapiens (human)
Lineage: Eukaryota; Metazoa; Chordata; Mammalia; Primates; Hominidae
Description: signaling receptor and transporter of retinol STRA6 (ENSG00000288257.1)
Source: RNAcentral
AAAAAGGGUUUACCAAUGAGACACAUGUUGCCUCCUUCAUGGAAACCCUAGGAGAAGAAACGGACAGAUUCCCCUUCCCUGCCUCCGCCCCAGCCCAGCCCCAGCGGUCCGUCUCACUCGGUUGUUGCUGUAAUGCUGGUCUCCUGUCUGUGUGCGGCACUGCAGAUGUGGCGGGCAGGGGCUUGGGAGCUCUGGGGCAGGCGCUGAAGGCAGGAGAAGGGCCAGAGAAUGUCGUCCCAGCCAGCAGGGAACCAGACCUCCCCCGGGGCCACAGAGGACUACUCCUAUGGCAGCUGGUACAUCGAUGAGCCCCAGGGGGGCGAGGAGCUCCAGCCAGAGGGGGGGGCCUGACGCAGGCCUGAGCCAGCCUUCAUUUGCUCUGCAGGGAAGUGCCCUCCUGCCACACCAGCAUACCACCCGGCCUGUACCACGCCUGCCUGGCCUCGCUGUCAAUCCUUGUGCUGCUGCUCCUGGCCAUGCUGGUGAGGCGCCGCCAGCUCUGGCCUGACUGUGUGCGUGGCAGGCCCGGCCUGCCCAGCCCUGUGGAUUUCUUGGCUGGGGACAGGCCCCGGGCAGUGCCUGCUGCUGUUUUCAUGGUCCUCCUGAGCUCCCUGUGUUUGCUGCUCCCCGACGAGGACGCAUUGCCCUUCCUGACUCUCGCCUCAGCACCCAGCCAAGAUGGGAAAACUGAGGCUCCAAGAGGGGCCUGGAAGAUACUGGGACUGUUCUAUUAUGCUGCCCUCUACUACCCUCUGGCUGCCUGUGCCACGGCUGGCCACACAGCUGCACACCUGCUCGGCAGCACGCUGUCCUGGGCCCACCUUGGGGUCCAGGUCUGGCAGAGGGCAGAGUGUCCCCAGGUGCCCAAGAUCUACAAGUACUACUCCCUGCUGGCCUCCCUGCCUCUCCUGCUGGGCCUCGGAUUCCUGAGCCUUUGGUACCCUGUGCAGCUGGUGAGAAGCUUCAGCCGUAGGACAGGAGCAGGCUCCAAGGGGCUGCAGAGCAGCUACUCUGAGGAAUAUCUGAGGAACCUCCUUUGCAGGAAGAAGCUGGGAAGCAGCUACCACACCUCCAAGCAUGGCUUCCUGUCCUGGGCCCGCGUCUGCUUGAGACACUGCAUCUACACUCCACAGCCAGGAUUCCAUCUCCCGCUGAAGCUGGUGCUUUCAGCUACACUGACAGGGACGGCCAUUUACCAGGUGGCCCUGCUGCUGCUGGUGGGCGUGGUACCCACUAUCCAGAAGGUGAGGGCAGGGGUCACCACGGAUGUCUCCUACCUGCUGGCCGGCUUUGGAAUCGUGCUCUCCGAGGACAAGCAGGAGGUGGUGGAGCUGGUGAAGCACCAUCUGUGGGCUCUGGAAGUGUGCUACAUCUCAGCCUUGGUCUUGUCCUGCUUACUCACCUUCCUGGUCCUGAUGCGCUCACUGGUGACACACAGGACCAACCUUCGAGCUCUGCACCGAGGAGCUGCCCUGGACUUGAGUCCCUUGCAUCGGAGUCCCCAUCCCUCCCGCCAAGCCAUAUUCUGUUGGAUGAGCUUCAGUGCCUACCAGACAGCCUUUAUCUGCCUUGGGCUCCUGGUGCAGCAGAUCAUCUUCUUCCUGGGAACCACGGCCCUGGCCUUCCUGGUGCUCAUGCCUGUGCUCCAUGGCAGGAACCUCCUGCUCUUCCGUUCCCUGGAGUCCUCGUGGCCCUUCUGGCUGACUUUGGCCCUGGCUGUGAUCCUGCAGAACAUGGCAGCCCAUUGGGUCUUCCUGGAGACUCAUGAUGGACACCCACAGCUGACCAACCGGCGAGUGCUCUAUGCAGCCACCUUUCUUCUCUUCCCCCUCAAUGUGCUGGUGGGUGCCAUGGUGGCCACCUGGCGAGUGCUCCUCUCUGCCCUCUACAACGCCAUCCACCUUGGCCAGAUGGACCUCAGCCUGCUGCCACCGAGAGCCGCCACUCUCGACCCCGGCUACUACACGUACCGAAACUUCUUGAAGAUUGAAGUCAGCCAGUCGCAUCCAGCCAUGACAGCCUUCUGCUCCCUGCUCCUGCAAGCGCAGAGCCUCCUACCCAGGACCAUGGCAGCCCCCCAGGACAGCCUCAGACCAGGGGAGGAAGACGAAGGGAUGCAGCUGCUACAGACAAAGGACUCCAUGGCCAAGGGAGCUAGGCCCGGGGCCAGCCGCGGCAGGGCUCGCUGGGGUCUGGCCUACACGCUGCUGCACAACCCAACCCUGCAGGUCUUCCGCAAGACGGCCCUGUUGGGUGCCAAUGGUGCCCAGCCCUGAGGGCAGGGAAGGUCAACCCACCUGCCCAUCUGUGCUGAGGCAUGUUCCUGCCUACCAUCCUCCUCCCUCCCCGGCUCUCCUCCCAGCAUCACACCAGCCAUGCAGCCAGCAGGUCCUCCGGAUCACUGUGGUUGGGUGGAGGUCUGUCUGCACUGGGAGCCUCAGGAGGGCUCUGCUCCACCCACUUGGCUAUGGGAGAGCCAGCAGGGGUUCUGGAGAAAGAAACUGGUGGGUUAGGGCCUUGGUCCAGGAGCCAGUUGAGCCAGGGCAGCCACAUCCAGGCGUCUCCCUACCCUGGCUCUGCCAUCAGCCUUGAAGGGCCUCGAUGAAGCCUUCUCUGGAACCACUCCAGCCCAGCUCCACCUCAGCCUUGGCCUUCACGCUGUGGAAGCAGCCAAGGCACUUCCUCACCCCCUCAGCGCCACGGACCUCUCUGGGGAGUGGCCGGAAAGCUCCCGGGCCUCUGGCCUGCAGGGCAGCCCAAGUCAUGACUCAGACCAGGUCCCACACUGAGCUGCCCACACUCGAGAGCCAGAUAUUUUUGUAGUUUUUAUGCCUUUGGCUAUUAUGAAAGAGGUUAGUGUGUUCCCUGCAAUAAACUUGUUCCUGAG